RNAcentral lists this long non-coding RNA (256 nucleotides) under Mus musculus (house mouse). RNAcentral describes it as "long non-coding RNA chr2:100336202-100336458". The record is from RNAcentral. Lineage: Eukaryota; Metazoa; Chordata; Mammalia; Rodentia; Muridae.
UACAUCCAAGGAGCUAUGGAGGAAGAAGCAGUCCAUUGUGAUGGGCUUUUUUUCUGAGGGUUUGCUGCUGGGGAUACCGCCAGCUCUCUGCCCUGCACAGGGAUCCCCGCCCCGCCCAGUCUGAUAAAGCAUAAACAGGAUAAGCAAGUUUAUGUCAUUUGCAGUUUUUGUGUCUACCGUGGUGGUUGCAAACUCUGGGUUGCUAAGGGUGCAAAUUAUGGCAAGCCUGUCCACCAUGAUGUUAAACAGCUAAAAU